UACGUAGGGGGCAAGCGUUGUCCGGAAUCAUUGGGCGUAAAGAGCGUGUAGGCGGCCCGGUAAGUCCGUUGUGAAGGUCCAGGGCUCAACCCUGGAAUGCCGAUGGAUACUGCCGGGCUAGAGUUCGGAAGAGGCGAGUGGAAUUCCUGGUGUAGCGGUGAAAUGCGCAGAUAUCAGGAGGAACACCGGUGGCGAAGGCGGUUCUCUGGGACGGUACUGACGCUGAGACGCGAAAGCGUGGGGAGCGAACAGG
Molecule: ribosomal RNA, 253 nt
Filed under: uncultured bacterium
Lineage: Bacteria
Description: partial 16S ribosomal RNA
Rfam family: Bacterial small subunit ribosomal RNA
Source: RNAcentral